AUGCUGCAGAUACCAUCUAUUAAGAUGCGUACCAUGCUGAUUAGGUAUAUGAUUGAGAAUUUUUAGGCCAGCACGGGCAGAUUCAUUAUACAAGAGCAGGUUGGGAAGGUGACUCUCGGUGCGGUCGACGUCGAGUGCAUCUUUAACCUCGAGAACCAAGGACUGUCCGCUUCAGAUAUUCUGACUGAAGAAGGCGAGGACAUGAAGGAGCGGGUGCCGCCACAAUUUCUCAGUAAGACAUCAGAAAACAUAGUGAUAGAUAAUCUCAUUGAGGACAUAAUUAAAAGUAAAGCCACCGACGACGAUUUCCUUCGCAAAGUAGUGCUGGUCCUGUUAGGAACAAUUAUUGCUCCCAUGUCGAGCAAGAUUGUGCCAAAGCAGUACUACGCUUUGGUCUACGAUGUGAAACAUAUUUCAAAGAUUAACUGGAAUGCCUUCACCAUGAGUGUUCUCCUUGAUUGCCUUCGCAUAGUGAAGAAAGGCAAACACCUGCGCCAAUGGCCGAAAGGCAAUUUGGCUCUCUUGCAGGUACACAUAUCAGACCUGUUGCAUAAUGUCAAUUAUCAUAUCAUUGCAAUUUUAUGUGAUGUAUUUUACUAA
Molecule: ribosomal RNA, 600 nt
Filed under: Triticum aestivum (bread wheat)
Lineage: Eukaryota; Viridiplantae; Streptophyta; Magnoliopsida; Poales; Poaceae
Description: partial small subunit ribosomal RNA
Source: RNAcentral